GUCAUUCUAUGUGAUGAUAUAUAUUGUGGCAAUAUUGCUUAAGAUCAUCUUAAGUCUUUAAAUGCUUUUUCAUUUAUUAAAUUUUUAGGUUUGUGGCAGCAAUUCCCCUUCCCACCACUGAUUUUGUUGUUUUUUGCCUUUCAGAUUGUGGGAAUGAGAGGAGUGCAUUAAGGAUACACAAACAAAGCCUGAGGAUGAUGAGUGCAUAAAAACACCUUUGUUAUCCAUUGCAGGACUCUUAUAGGACAGAUGGCUUCUCAUGUUGUGCGUCCAGACAGAGAAGUAAAAGGCACAGAUCAUGAAAAGGGAGAUGGGAAUGGCUGAAUGAGCCACGCAUCACAGUGAUGAGGUAAGGCCUUCCUUUAACAACUGCAUCCAGCUCCCUCUGCUCCUGGCUAAUCUGUGCCUCCAACAAGGUAUCAUUUCUGGUACCAGGUUAACAAAGAAAUGGAAGCUGGAUCAGUUAAGAAAAAGUCCGUGGUGGUGCAGAUGGUGA
RNAcentral lists this long non-coding RNA (496 nucleotides) under Zonotrichia albicollis (white-throated sparrow). RNAcentral's name for it is "lncRNA (ENSZALG00000008419.1)". Lineage: Eukaryota; Metazoa; Chordata; Aves; Passeriformes; Passerellidae. The record is from RNAcentral.